This 250-nucleotide ribosomal RNA is filed under the name uncultured prokaryote. Its description in RNAcentral is "partial 16S ribosomal RNA". It matches the Rfam family "Bacterial small subunit ribosomal RNA", at positions 524 to 773 of the family's 1533-position model. The record is from RNAcentral.
UACGUAUGGUGCAAGCGUUAUCCGGAUUUACUGGGUGUAAAGGGAGCGUAGGUGGUCAGGCAAGUCAGGAGUGAAAUACCGGGGCUCAACCCCGGGGCUGCUCUUGAAACUGCAGGACUGGAGUGCAGGAGGGGUAAGCGGAAUUCCUAGUGUAGCGGUGAAAUGCGUAGAUAUUAGGAGGAACACCGGUGGCGAAGGCGGCUUACUGGACUGUAACUGACACUGAGGCACGAAAGCGUGGGUAUCGAAC